CCUACGGGGGGCAGCAGUGAGGAAUAUUGGUCAAUGGACGAGAGUCUGAACCAGCCAAGUAGCGUGAAGGAUGACUGCCCUAUGGGUUGUAAACUUCUUUUAUAUGGGAAUAAAAUGUUCCACGUGUGGGAUUUUGUAUGUACCAUAUGAAUAAGGAUCGGCUAACUCCGUGCCAGCAGCCGCGGUAAUACGGAGGAUCCGAGCGUUAUCCGGAUUUAUUGGGUUUAAAGGGAGCGUAGGUGGAUUGUUAAGUCAGUUGUGAAAGUUUGCGGCUCAACCGUAAAAUUGCAGUUGAAACUGGCAGUCUUGAGUACAGUAGAGGUGGGCGGAAUUCGUGGUGUAGCGGUGAAAUGCUUAGAUAUCACGAAGAACUCCGGUUGCGAAGGCAGUUCACUGGACUGCAACUGACACUGAGGCUCGAAAGUGUGGGUAUCAAACAGGAUUAGAUACCCGGGUAGUC
This 460-nucleotide ribosomal RNA is filed under the name uncultured bacterium. RNAcentral describes it as "partial 16S ribosomal RNA". It matches the Rfam family "Bacterial small subunit ribosomal RNA", at positions 338 to 795 of the family's 1533-position model. The record is from RNAcentral.